AAGUCGUAACAAGGUUUCCGUAGGUGAACCUGCGGAAGGAUCAUUAUCCUUUAGCCAAGUGCUCUCUGUCACAAUGACAAGUGCAUCUGCGGCUCAAAUCUACUUAAUGCACGGCAGCCGCGCGACGCCUAGUCGAUGCGCGGCGGGCAGCAUCAAGCAAAAAUCCACGGCAGCCCUAGUGCUACCGUGGUCAGGUACCUAGCAGCUGAAGCGAGGCGCUCCGGCGCAUCGUGUGGCGUAAAGAUUACGCGGGCCCUAAGGCGCCGCGUAACGCCUGCUUAGCUAAAUUUUUUCUCUAUUAUAAACUACAAAUGAUUACUAUUAGAGUUGUGUAUGUGCUUGAUUUCUCCCAGAGAAAGCAAUUCAAACACAAAAACAACCCUAUGCGGUGGAUCACUUGGCUC
Molecule: unclassified non-coding RNA, 404 nt
Filed under: fungal sp.
Lineage: Eukaryota; Fungi
Description: partial internal transcribed spacer region
Rfam family: Eukaryotic small subunit ribosomal RNA (bases 1-46)
Source: RNAcentral